Molecule: non-coding RNA, 342 nt
Organism: Pelobates cultripes (western spadefoot toad)
Lineage: Eukaryota; Metazoa; Chordata; Amphibia; Anura; Pelobatidae
Source: the annotation of a GenBank genome assembly
CAAGGAAGUGUGUAAUCUCUGCCUUAGCUACACAUACAGAAGGGGCCGGACUGUGGGUGGCCAGGGACUCUUAUUUUGUGGCAUACUGCACGAACAUGGUGCAACACUGAAUGGAGGGACAGUGCCAGGGCACUCCAGGCACCAUAACCAAUUCAAAGAGAUGAAAUGCUUAGUGACUACAGUGUCCCUUUAAUGUAGGUUGCUGAUUUGGCUGCAGUAUAUCUAAUAUAUAAGUCUGUAGUGGGUUUCCCCAUUCCAUACAGCCUAACUGGAAUAGUUAAUAGAAUGUUAUGGAGAAUAUUAAAUAAAAUGCUGACAUGCAUCACUUGGACUUUAUUUUUU